RNAcentral lists this ribosomal RNA (459 nucleotides) under uncultured bacterium. RNAcentral describes it as "partial 16S ribosomal RNA". It matches the Rfam family "Bacterial small subunit ribosomal RNA", at positions 338 to 795 of the family's 1533-position model. The record is from RNAcentral.
CCUACGGGAGGCAGCAGUGAGGAAUAUUGGUCAAUGGCCGGAAGGCUGAACCAGCCAAGCCGCGUGAAGGACGAAGGUGCCAAGCAUUGUAAACUUCUUUUGUCAAGGGACAAAAUCAGGCUCGAGAGCCUGACCGCGGGUACUUGAAGAAAAAGCAUCGGCUAACUCCGUGCCAGCAGCCGCGGUAAUACGGAGGAUGCGAGCGUUAUCCGGAUUUAUUGGGUUUAAAGGGUGCGUAGGCGGACUGUUAAGUCAGCGGUAAAAGCCCGGGGCUCAACCCCGGCGAGCCGUUGAAACGGGCUGUCUUGAGAUGUCGAGAGGUAUGCGGAAGGCGCGGUGUAGCGGUGAAAUGCUUAGAUAUUGCGCAGAACUCCGAUUGCGAAGGCAGCAUACCGGAGGCGAUCUGACGCUGAGGCACGAAAGCGUGGGUAUCGAACAGGAUUAGAUACCCCUGUAGUC